Molecule: long non-coding RNA, 199 nt
Organism: Haliotis rubra (blacklip abalone)
Lineage: Eukaryota; Metazoa; Mollusca; Gastropoda; Lepetellida; Haliotidae
Exons: 3
Source: RefSeq, a predicted model, not a curated record
UUCGAACCUAAUAUCGCAGGUGUCUUGCGUACCAAGGAACGCAACUCUGGCCAGCGAAUAGACGACUGGUACCAGUGUCCACAUGAUUUUAGCGUGACGGUAAAUUGUCUGAGGCCGAGUUCAAAACAUUCAUGAUCGACAUCUACAAGAAUUGCGUUCCUGGGAGUUAGAAAUGGCAAAUAAAGUCAUACAAACAACA